UCCGAUGAACCUAAAUAUCCGGUAUGAGAAAGUCAUUAUUAUGAGUAUAUUAUUUUAUAAUGUAUUAAUAGUGUGCAUUUUUUUCAUAAAAAGGACAUUGUAAUCUGUUAAUACAAUUUAUAUAUUCUUUUAUAUAUUAUUUUUAUCAUAAAGAGUCAUGUAUAAGUUUACAUAUAAAUUAAUUAAUUUAUUAAUUAAUUGAUGUAAGAUCGAUGAAUUUCUAGAUAAAUAGUUAACAGUAUUAAAAUAUAUAAUGCUUACAUAAUUUUUUAUGUUUUAUAUAUAAUAUGUACAUGUACGAUAUAUAUGUUUUUGCACAUAGAUUAUAACAAU
Molecule: ribosomal RNA, 333 nt
Filed under: Leva indica
Lineage: Eukaryota; Metazoa; Arthropoda; Insecta; Orthoptera; Acrididae
Description: partial 28S ribosomal RNA
Source: RNAcentral